RNAcentral lists this long non-coding RNA (2807 nucleotides) under Salvia miltiorrhiza (redroot sage). RNAcentral's name for it is "long non-coding RNA (SMIL_LNC006183)". Lineage: Eukaryota; Viridiplantae; Streptophyta; Magnoliopsida; Lamiales; Lamiaceae. The record is from RNAcentral.
AAAGAAAGGCUUGAUGAAGAAAAAUAAAACACUGGUCAUAUUAAAGUUGUAUACAAAAGAAGACACACUCAUCAAAACAGAGUUGUACACAAAAGAACCAAAAGAAAACAAAAAUCCACAAGUCAUUGGUCAGGCCUCAUUAAAACCUCCUGAGGUAAACCCAUAGGAAAAACCCCCAGGUAGGAAAAAGAGUACCUGAUACUUCUUAUUUGAACAACUAAGAUAAAUAACAGACUCUAAAUAAAAGACUCAAAACUCUAAGAAACAUUUCCACGAUUUCUAAAUUUAAGUUGCAAUCUUAACAGCUGAAUCUCUUAGGUCAAUAGGAUACUCGUCCACUAAUCAGGGACGCAUAUACCUCAUCCAGAUUUUUCUGUAAAGCUGCCUUUGUCUUGGGAUAUUUCAAGACCUCACCCUGCAAAAAAGAAGUUAAUUAGAAUUGACCUUAACAAUCAUGAACCUCUAUGUCUGCAUAAAUGGUAUCUCUAUUUUGAGUUUAAAAACAUUUGUGGCCACUAUCUUAAGUUGGUUUGCAAAAAUAGACUAUUUUUUUUUUGGAUUUGCAAAAUUAGGCUAAGUAUUUUAAAUUUCGGCGUUUUGGGCCACUUUCGGCCCCAAUUCGACAUCUAUAUGCCACAUUUAGAGCCAUAUUCGGACCGAAAUGUGGUCCAAAAUAGCCCGAAUAGACUCAAAUGUGGCUUACAGACGCCAAAAUUUAAAAUAAUUGGUCUAUUUUUGCUAGUCCGAAAUGUGAGAGCUUUGUGAUGAGGAAAGAGAUGGUCAAAAGUGUAUGAAUUGAAGAAGGAGAAGUUCAGAAUUUGAUGGUUGAUGAAGAGGAGGGUUGCGAAUUGGGGAAGAAGGUUCCACGUUUAGGAUAAAUGAGAAAGAUUUAUGUUUUUAUUUUUUUUAAAAAUAGGGUUAAAUAGCAGAUGCACCCCUAAAGUAGAGGCCCCUAAAGCAUAUACUCCCACAUUCUCGAUCUUAGCUCAAAUACACCCCCAGAGUCCAUAAAAAUGGUGCAUUUAAACCCAGGCCUUUAGCGUCCCUUAUCUUUUAAAUCUGGUUGAAGCGAGAAAGUUGUUCGACGAAAUGCCUGAGAGAAAAAUGAAAGUUUCGGCGAAAGCAUAUUCAACUCCGACAGGGUUCACGAUAUACAAUCCAGAACUCGAUUUCAUGGGGAGAUCUUUUCAACCCUCAUGGAAUAUAAGGUAGUCCAGAUGAGAUAGGAUUGUAUAGCUCUUCCCUAUUGGUGUGGAAGAUAGUGUGGCGUGUAUGUAAUCAUGUUACUCUACACCAAGAAUCUUGGGACUGAACAAGAGAAUUAGAAAUAUAUACUUCCAAGAAUUUAUGCAACCAGUGACGUAGCCAGACUUUUCAGUCAGGGGGGCCAAAUACUCUCUUGGUUCCAACUAACUUCAUAAUUUUUUUUUUUACCGUCUCAAUUAAGUUGAUCAAUUUUCUUAUAUGGAAUAAAUACAUAUAAGCAAAACAAAAAAAUAAUCACUUAUUCACUUUAUUACCAAAGACACUUAAAAUAUUAAGUCUUAAAUUUUUUGUCGAAAAUAAGUUGAUCAAGUUAGCUGGGACGAAGAAAGUAAUAAUCAUAAUAUUAUAAAAGACUCCGAAUAUAUAGCAAUUUCAAUAAAAUCAUAAUGCUACAUUAGUUGCACCAUAAUAUUACAAAGAUAAAAAUAAAUAUUCUACCAUCAUAAAAUUUCUCUUCUAUUUAAUUUUCAUGUUUUGAAAUCGCUACAUAAUCGUUUCAUUAGUACAUAUUUACAAAUUCAUAAUUUCUGAUGUAAGAUAUUAGACAAUCAUUCGAUAGCGUAUCUCAUAUACGAUUGAGUAGAGAGAAAUUGGGAUUAUUACAAAAAAUAAUAAUAAUAUUUAUAUAUUUAUUUAAUAUUAAAUAUAAAAUUACUAAAAUACCCUAAUGUUUUUAAAAUUUUCAGUGGGGCCCAGUGCCCCCACUGCCCUCCUCUAGUUACGUCACUUUAUGCAACGAUCUUCAUCAUGCCACCUCAAAAAAAAAAAAAAAAAAAAAAAAACCGGAAUCUUCAUCACUCCUCUAAGACAACCCAAUAUGCAACAUUAUUGUUGUGAUUGCUUAGACAACUCUCGUAGUUUUAGUCAAGAAGAGGUAAUAUGUUUUCAAAUUCCAAGAUGCAUAGUGCGAGGCGUGGGGAUUACUUAUGGAAGCCGAAUUGGAUGUGCCGGCGGUGGCGAGAGGAAGAGCAACCGGCCGUCGAUAUUCAGGAAAUUGAAGCCGCCGCCGCCGCUUGCUGGCAAAAGUGAAGAAGUCAGUAACCGCCGAAUUGGAGAGGGGAGAGCAACUGUAGCAUGUAAUGACGCAGGGUAAACACCGACCACUUUUCUCUCAGGUAUUUCGUCGAACACCUUCGUCACUUCAACCAGAUUUAAAAGAUAACCGACGCUUAACUUGUGUUAAAAGCCUAGGUUUAAAUGCACCAUUUUUAUGAAUUCUGGGGUGUAUUUGAGCCAAUGUCGAUAAUGGGACGUAUACGAGCUUAGGGCUUCUACUUCAAUGGUGUAUAUGCACCUUAACCCAAAAAAAAUAAUCUAUCUAAGCAUCAAAAUGACAUUUUUUUGAUGCAUUGAAACGAUACGUUGUCGGAUAUAUUCUCUCAAGCGGAACAUAACAUAAAUAAAAAACAAACUCGAAAUUGAAGAGUUUUAAAUUAAUUAAAUAAAAAAGUAAAGAAAAAUACCUUUUCAAUAAUCUCGUUAGUGUCAGAACAUCUAUAUAUCCCUUCGUUGAAAAUUAUAGUCCCUGUUGUCGUUGCUAA